GACGGAGGGUGCAAGCGUUAAUCGGAAUUACUUGGCGUGAAGCGCGCGUAGGCGGUUUUUUAAGUCGGAUGUGAAAGCCCCGGGCUCAACCUGGGAACUGCAUCCGAUACUGGAAGACUAGAAUGCGGGAGAGGGAGGUAGAAUUCCAUGUGUAGCAGUGAAAUGCGUAGAUAUAUGGAGGAAUACCAGUGGCGAAGGCGGCCUCCUGGCUCGACAUUGACGCUGAGGUGCGAAAGCGUGGGGAGCAAACGGG
RNAcentral lists this ribosomal RNA (253 nucleotides) under uncultured bacterium. Its description in RNAcentral is "partial 16S ribosomal RNA". It matches the Rfam family "Bacterial small subunit ribosomal RNA", at positions 524 to 776 of the family's 1533-position model. The record is from RNAcentral.